Gadus chalcogrammus (walleye pollock) is the source of this 922-nucleotide long non-coding RNA. RefSeq lists it as uncharacterized. NCBI's taxonomy places the organism in Eukaryota, Metazoa, Chordata, Actinopteri, Gadiformes, Gadidae. The record is from RefSeq and is a predicted model, not a curated record. The transcript is spliced from 3 exons.
AUAAAGGCUGGUUAUACUCCUCCAUAAAGUGCUUUACGUAGACACGGCGAGCCCUCUCCGUUGUUUGAGACCCUGUCGGAGACCCUCUCUGUUACGGCUCAAGACAGGGUGAACCCAAACGCACGGCACAAAUGACGACAGGACGAGGGUAUUUGAGUCCUCAUCAGACCAGGAUACUGGAGAGGAGAGCUGUGCUGGAGCCAAGGUAAUCUCGCAAGAUGGAGGUCCUGCAGAUCUGAGAAUGGGAAAUUCAUUUUACAAGCUAAAAAACCAACAAAAUGGCAGGCCCUCCCUUGUGUGACAUCACGGAUGGCGGGGCCUAUCUAUUCUCCUUCCCCACUGUUAGUGGAAGUUAAUGAUGAGGCGCUGGCGUGCCGCGAUCGAUGAGGGGCCCGCCAUCAACACUGAGGUCGUCCAGCAUGGGGGCCGUGGCUCGCGUAGCCAACCCCCCCCCCCCUCCCCAGACAGAAAUACUCUGUCUUCAUGACCGUUUGCGUCUCUGCUAACACUAGCCUUGGUUUAUUUAUUGAUUGAUUUUUUCUAACCGUUGAACCUGAAAGGAAAGUUGAUGUGGUGAUGCUACUGUGAGCCAACAACUUAUUUAUAUAUUUUUUUACUUAUUGUACAUAUUUGAAACAGAAACACAAAUGUGAGCAUUUUUUGGAGUUUGUUCAUGCAACAUGGCUGGAUGUUUGGAUGUCUGGAUGUUUCCCUGAGAUCCAAUUACUUGAAUGAACAGGAUUGAGAAAGAUCUUCAUAAAUUCUAAUGCAAUAAGCCAGUUUAUUUUUUAAAUUUUAUGAAACAUUCAAGGGAAUUGAUUCAAAAGGACAAAGCUUUAAGCAUGAACCUUGUCUCUAAUUUUUGGUCUUCUUGAUAACAUUGUCAGAAUAAUCUCAUGGACGAAACUGAAUUCAACUGAAA